This 479-nucleotide ribosomal RNA is filed under the name uncultured bacterium. Its description in RNAcentral is "SSU rRNA". It matches the Rfam family "Bacterial small subunit ribosomal RNA", at positions 26 to 518 of the family's 1533-position model. The record is from RNAcentral.
AGGACGAACGCUGGCGGCGUGCUUAACACAUGCAAGUCGUGGGCAUCUCGCAAGAGGUGACCGGCGAACGGGUGCGUAACACGUGAGCGACCUACCGAUGCGCGGGGGAUAGCCGGCCCAACGGCCGGGUAAUACCGCAUACGCCAACCGAGCCGCAUGGCUUGGUUGGGAAACCUCCGGGGCGGAUCGAGGGGCUCGCGGCCUAUCAGCUAGUUGGCGGGGUAACGGCCCACCAAGGCGACGACGGGUAGCUGGUCUGAGAGGAUGGCCAGCCACAUUGGGACUGAGAAACGGCCCAGACUCCUACGGGAGGCAGCAGUGGGGAAUAUUGCGCAAUGGCCGCAAGGCUGACGCAGCGACGCCGCGUGUGGGAUGACGCCCUUCGGGGUGUAAACCACUGUUGCCCGGGACGAACGAGGGAUUUAUCCCUGUGACGGUACCGGGUGAGGAGCACCGGCUAACUCCGCGCCAGCAGCCGC